AUGAUACCAGCAACACUGCAAAGGCGUGGACAUAGCAGAGGUGAUAGGAUACCCAACUGUUCUUGGAAUAAUUUUCAAGUGUUGUUUUUGAGGGAGGCUAACCUCACUGGCACCACCCUACAAUUUGUGUCAACCCUUAGUAGCUUGAACAUGCUUGAUGUCAGUCUCAACCAAUUGAGCGGUUCAGUGCCUGUGGAGAUUGGCGCACAUACAAGUUUGACUUACUUAGACCUUGGGAACAACAAGUUGAGCGGUUCAGUGCCUGUAGAGAUUGGCAUGCUUACAAAUUUGACUCACUUAGACCUUGGAAACAACAGCUUGACUGGAGUGAUUUCAGAAGAUCAUUUUGCUGGUUUGAUGAAUUUGAAGUCUCUUCACUUAUCCUUUAAUAAUCUGGAAGUUAUUAUUGACUCGCAUUGGGUACUGCUGUUCAACUUGGAUUUAGCAUCGUUAUCAUCUUGUCAUUUGGGCCCCCAGUUUCCUAAUUGGCUUCGAGGGCAGAGGAGCAUCAAUUUCCUUCAUAUUUCAAACACAAGCCUAGUUGGUAGGAUCCCAGGUUGGUUUUGGACUACCUUUUCUGAAGCUGCAUCUUUGGAUAUCUCCUUGAACCAACUAAGUGGCGAGCUACCACUUAGUCUGGAGUUCAUGUCAGUGAUCUUUCUUUCAAUGCAGUCAAAUCUACUGAUUGGUUUGAUACCCAAGUUACCAAGAACAAUUGAGUUAUUGGACAUAUCGAGAAACUCUUUAAAUGGGUUUGUGUCCAAUUUCCGAGCUCCACAACUGCAGGUUGCAAUUUUGUUUUCUAAUUCUAUAUCCGGGACUAUUCCCAUGUCAAUUUGUCAAAUGCGAGAAUUGCGGGUCUUAGAUCUUUCAAACAAUUUGCUUUCAAAGGAACUUCCUGAUUGUGGCCAAACAGAGCUAAAACGGUGGAACCCAUCUAACAACAACUCUUCAAGUUUCAAUUCAAUGAGUUCUUUCAGUUUGGAAAUCACGACUCUUCUCCUGAGCAACAACAGUUUUUCAAGUGGAUUUCCUUUGUUCCUGUGA
This 1047-nucleotide ribosomal RNA is filed under the name Triticum aestivum (bread wheat). Its description in RNAcentral is "partial small subunit ribosomal RNA". Lineage: Eukaryota; Viridiplantae; Streptophyta; Magnoliopsida; Poales; Poaceae. The record is from RNAcentral.